RNAcentral lists this ribosomal RNA (274 nucleotides) under uncultured bacterium. RNAcentral describes it as "partial 16S ribosomal RNA". It matches the Rfam family "Bacterial small subunit ribosomal RNA", at positions 523 to 796 of the family's 1533-position model. The record is from RNAcentral.
AUACGGAGGGGGCUAGCGUUGUUCGGAAUUACUGGGCGUAAAGCGUACGUAGGCGGACUGAUCAGUUGGGGGUGAAAUCCCAGGGCUUAACCCUGGAACUGCCUUCAAUACUGUCAGUCUUGAGAUUGGAAGAGGUGAGUGGAAUUUCUAGUGUAGAGGUGAAAUUCAUAGAUAUUAGGAGGAACACCAGUGGCGAAGGCGGCUCACUGGUCCAAUACUGACGCUGAGGUACGAAAGCGUGGGGAGCAAACAGGAUUAGAAACCCUAGUAGUCC